This 253-nucleotide ribosomal RNA is filed under the name uncultured bacterium. RNAcentral describes it as "partial 16S ribosomal RNA". It matches the Rfam family "Bacterial small subunit ribosomal RNA", at positions 524 to 776 of the family's 1533-position model. The record is from RNAcentral.
UACGGAGGGGGCCAGCGUUGUUCGGAAUUAUUGGGCGUAAAGGGCGCGUAGGCGGCUGGGUAAGUCAAAUGUGAAAUCCCGAGGCUCAACCACGGAAUUGCGUUUGAAACUGCUCGGCUUGAGUCCCGGAGAGGGUAGUGGAAUUCCCAGUGUAGCGGUGAAAUGCGUAGAUAUUGGGAGGAACACCAGUGGCGAAGGCGACUACCUGGACGGGUACUGACGCUGAGGCGCGAAAGCGUGGGGAGCAAACAGG